GGGAGAGUGGCCGAGUGAUUGAAAGCGACAGACUGUAAAUCCGCUGAAGGUUUUCUACGGUCGAAUCCUGCCUUUCCCA
Molecule: transfer RNA, 79 nt
Filed under: Moerckia flotoviana
Lineage: Eukaryota; Viridiplantae; Streptophyta; Jungermanniopsida; Pallaviciniales; Moerckiaceae
Description: tRNA-Tyr
Rfam family: tRNA
About the family: Transfer RNA (tRNA) molecules are approximately 80 nucleotides in length.
Source: RNAcentral